RNAcentral lists this ribosomal RNA (372 nucleotides) under uncultured organism. RNAcentral describes it as "bacterial SSU rRNA". It matches the Rfam family "Bacterial small subunit ribosomal RNA", at positions 526 to 896 of the family's 1533-position model. The record is from RNAcentral.
CGUAGGUGGCAAGCGUUGUCCGGAUUUACUGGGCGUAAAGGGCGUGCAGGCGGUCUGUUAAGUUCAGGGUGAAAGCUCCCGGCUCAACUGGGAGAGGUCCUUGGAUACUGGCAGACUUGAGGGAGGUAGAGGAGAGUGGAAUUCCCGGUGUAGUGGUGAUAUGCGUAGAUAUCGGGAGGAACACCAGUGGCGAAGGCGGCUCUCUGGGCCUUUCCUGACGCUGAGACGCGAAAGCGUGGGGAGCGAACCGGAUUAGAUACCCGGGUAGUCCACGCCGUAAACUAUGAACACUAGGUGUGGGGGGUAUCGACCCCCUCCGUGCCGCAGCUAACGCAAUAAGUGUUCCGCCUGGGGAGUACGGCCGCAAGGCUA